UACGUAGGGGGCAAGCGUUGUCCGGAAUUAUUGGGCGUAAAGAGCGUGUAGGCGGCCAGAUAAGUCCGCUGUGAAAUCUCGAGGCUCAACUUCGAGCUGUCGGUGGAAACUAUCUGGCUAGAGUCCGGAAGAGGAGAAUGGAAUUCCUGGUGUAGCGGUGAAAUGCGCAGAUAUCAGGAAGAACACCCGUGGCGAAGGCGGAUCUCUGGGCCAUUACUGACGCUGAGGAGCGAAAGCGUGGGGAGCGAACAGG
Molecule: ribosomal RNA, 253 nt
Filed under: uncultured bacterium
Lineage: Bacteria
Description: partial 16S ribosomal RNA
Rfam family: Bacterial small subunit ribosomal RNA
Source: RNAcentral